UUGGUUCCCUGUCCGUUGUCUUGAAUCAAUUUCGGUUUAAUUGUACAUGAAAAGAUGUUUACGAACCACCCAAAAGACUAUCUAACGUAAACAAACACAUCAGUACUCGAGCUCACAACAGAGUCAACGUUAUGUUCCCAUGUGAAAGCAGGAGAGGCAUUGAUAAAAGAUGCAUUAAACAUCUAAGUAAAAAACAAAACAAGACAAUGAGCUUUUCCCAGGAUCAUUGAGGCAACUUCAGCUAUAGAUAACAUUUGCCAUUCAUGGGAGUAGAGGAAUGAGAGGCGAUGGGACUUAGGAAACAAAGAGGAUUGUAUGGCUGGACUGUGAAUGGAGGAGAAACGCAUGCAUGGAGCAGCAAUGGAGGAGAGACUACAGUGUAAGGUGUGUGACAUUGACCUCUGGGCUUUUGAACCUGUGACCUGCCACAAUCCCGAAGCUCAUUCAAUAGCACUAAGUGAUCAGCACCUCCAAGACAAAGACUCCAGCUGCCUGGUGUUGAAAUAUGCAUUAGGCUCCCUCAAUCUCAUCCCGGCCCG
RNAcentral lists this long non-coding RNA (539 nucleotides) under Danio rerio (zebrafish). Its description in RNAcentral is "si:ch211-262i10.2 (ENSDARG00000092538.4)". Lineage: Eukaryota; Metazoa; Chordata; Actinopteri; Cypriniformes; Danionidae. The record is from RNAcentral.